AUUUGUCGAUCAUAAUUCCAUUGGAAUCAAACAUAUCCUCGUACAUUAUGCACCUCAAAUCACCAAAAGUCAUGGAUGAAUUCUCAAUUACUUAAAAAGGUCUGCUGAAAGUAAAGACUCUCAUCUCUCUUGGGUACAAAAAUUAUCAGGCGAGUGCGUGCGUGGCAGUCCCAAAUUAGACUCUUGCAACCGAGAUGGGAUUGCUGGCAGGAUAGAAGUUUAAAAUGGGGGGGGGGGACGGUGGACACUUGGCCAUGUCCAUCAUAGGGAGCAAGAAGGUAGAUAGGCUUGUCAGUCUUUUUGUCCC
This 307-nucleotide long non-coding RNA is filed under the name Elaeis guineensis (African oil palm). RNAcentral's name for it is "long non-coding RNA (EGUI_LNC001184)". The record is from RNAcentral. Lineage: Eukaryota; Viridiplantae; Streptophyta; Magnoliopsida; Arecales; Arecaceae.